GUUAGGAAUAUUGGACAAUGGGCGCAAGCCUGAUCCAGCCAUGCCGCGUGAACGAUGAAGGCCUUCGGGUUGUAAAGUUCUUUAGCCGAUGAUUAUAAUGACUGUAGUCGGAAAAUAAGCCCCGGCUAACUUCGUGCCAGCAGCCGCGGUAAUACGAAGGGGGCGAGCGUUAUUCGGAAUCACUGGGCGUAAAGCGUGCGUAGGCGGUCUCGUAAGUUAGGAGUGAAAGCCCAGGGCUCAACCUUGGAAUUGCUCUUAAAACUGCAAGGCUAGAAUCUCGGAGAGGAUAGCGGAAUUUCCAGUGUAGCAGUGAAAUGCGUAGAUAUUGGAAGGAACACCAGUGGCGUAAGCGGCUAUCUGGACGAGUAUUGACGUUGAGGCACGAAAGCGUGGGGAUCAAACAGGAUUAGAUACCCUUGUAGUCC
This 425-nucleotide ribosomal RNA is filed under the name uncultured bacterium. Its description in RNAcentral is "partial 16S ribosomal RNA". It matches the Rfam family "Bacterial small subunit ribosomal RNA", at positions 354 to 796 of the family's 1533-position model. The record is from RNAcentral.